RNAcentral lists this small RNA (61 nucleotides) under Acididesulfobacillus acetoxydans. Its description in RNAcentral is "Peptococcaceae bacterium INE non-coding RNA". Lineage: Bacteria; Bacillati; Bacillota; Clostridia; Eubacteriales; Peptococcaceae. The record is from RNAcentral.
GUUUCAAUUCCUCAUAGGCUCGGCGUUAUAGUUUCUCCAGGCGCUAAUGAUGUAACAUUAG